This 253-nucleotide ribosomal RNA is filed under the name uncultured bacterium. Its description in RNAcentral is "partial 16S ribosomal RNA". It matches the Rfam family "Bacterial small subunit ribosomal RNA", at positions 524 to 776 of the family's 1533-position model. The record is from RNAcentral.
UACAGAGACUGCAAGCGUUAUUCGGAUUCACUGGGCGUAAAGGGUGCGCAGGCGGUUGGGUGUGUCAGAUGUGAAAUCCCGAGGCUCAACCUCGGAACUGCGUCUGAAACUACUCGACUAGAGUACUGGAGAGGGUAACGGAAUUCACGGUGUAGCAGUGAAAUGCGUAGAUAUCGUGAGGAACACCAGAGGCGAAGGCGGUUACCUGGACAGUUACUGACGCUCAGGCACGAAAGCACGGGGAGCAAAAGGG